This 387-nucleotide ribosomal RNA is filed under the name uncultured bacterium. Its description in RNAcentral is "bacterial SSU rRNA". It matches the Rfam family "Bacterial small subunit ribosomal RNA", at positions 29 to 416 of the family's 1533-position model. The record is from RNAcentral.
AUUGAACGCUGGCGGCAUGCCUUACACAUGCAAGUCGAACGGUAACGCGGGGCAACCUGGCGACGAGUGGCGAACGGGUGAGUAACGCAUCGGAACGUGCCCAGUAGUGGGGGAUAGCCCGGCGAAAGCCGGAUUAAUACCGCAUACGACCUACGGGUGAAAGGGGGGAGUCGCAAGACCUCUCGCUAUUGGAGGCGGCCGAUGUCAGAUUAGGUAGUUGGUGGGGUAAAAGGACCUACCAAGCCGACGAUCUGUAGCUGGUCUGAGAGGACGACCAGCCACACUGGGACUGAGACACGGCCCAGACUCCUACGGGAGGCAGCAGUGGGGAAUUUUGGACAAUGGGCGCAAGCCUGAUCCAGCCAUGCCGCGUGCGGGAAGAAGGCC